Molecule: unclassified non-coding RNA, 282 nt
Filed under: Hevea brasiliensis (rubber tree)
Lineage: Eukaryota; Viridiplantae; Streptophyta; Magnoliopsida; Malpighiales; Euphorbiaceae
Source: RNAcentral
CCUCCAAGCUUACUGACGUUGCAUCGGUUGCAUUUGACAAAUCAUAUUGUAAGGUGAAAACUGGUAUCCAGGAGGAGUUCCUCUAAGGAGAUUUUGCUCCUGUAGUUUUUGUCCAUAUGACGAUAUCCCACAAAAAGGUGCCAUCAACAAAUUGCCAUUUGCUUGGCUAAAAACACCAGCUGCCCCUCCCCCUUCACUUUGUGGUUUACAAUCUAUAAAUCCUUUGGGCAUGCCAGCCAUUUUUUGUUGUGGUUGUGAUUGUAGACUUGUGGUAGAAUGAUC